UAACAAUAGCACAUUUGCAUAGCAGG
This 26-nucleotide non-coding RNA is filed under the name Mus musculus (house mouse). The record is from RNAcentral. Lineage: Eukaryota; Metazoa; Chordata; Mammalia; Rodentia; Muridae.